RNAcentral lists this ribosomal RNA (120 nucleotides) under uncultured bacterium. Its description in RNAcentral is "partial 16S ribosomal RNA". It matches the Rfam family "Bacterial small subunit ribosomal RNA", at positions 796 to 915 of the family's 1533-position model. The record is from RNAcentral.
CACGCCCUAAACGAUGUAUACCGGUUGUUGCUGUGCUAGUCACGGCAGUAAUCCACCUAACGGAUUAAGUAUACCGCCUGGGGAGUACGGUCGCAAGAUUAAAACUCAAAGGAAUAGACG